Molecule: ribosomal RNA, 413 nt
Filed under: uncultured bacterium
Lineage: Bacteria
Description: bacterial SSU rRNA
Rfam family: Bacterial small subunit ribosomal RNA
Source: RNAcentral
GUGCCAGCAGCCGCGGUAAUACGGAGGGUGCAAGCGUUGUUCGGAAUUACUGGGCGUAAAGCGCGUGUAGGCGGCCUGGCAAGUCAAGUGUGAAAGCCCCCGGCUUAACCGGGGAAGGGCACCUGAAACUGCCUGGCUUGAGUACGGGAGAGGGAGGCGGAAUUCCCAGUGUAGAGGUGAAAUUCGUAGAUAUCGGAAGGAACACCAGUGGCGAAGGCGACUUCCUGGGCCAAUACUGACACUGAAGUGCGAAAGCGUGGGUAGCAAACAGGAUUAGAUACCCUGGUAGUCCACGCCGUAAACGAUGAGAACUAGAUGUUGAACAGAUCGACCUGUGCAGUAUCAAAGCUAACGCGUUAAGUUCGCCGCCUGGGGAGUACGGUCGCAAGACUGAAACUCAAAGGAAUUGACGG